UAAACUCCCUUUUAAAGAGGGUUUGUGUACAAAGAGAUACACGAGAAGGAGAAUUAAACCAAAGUGUUAUCGUAUGAAUUAUUUCUUGCAACUCUUGCGAUUAUGAUCUCUAUUUUGUAUAAAUACUCCUUCCAUUUAAGGAUAGUCUAACCUUAAUUUUUUGAGCAAAUAUCAUUUGUAGCCACUCGACCCAAACCAAUAACAUCCAGUAGCCUAAAAUUACGGUACACGUUUUAUACCCCAAAACUAAUUCCAGUGGCUAGCCCAAAGUUAAUAUGAUUUGAUAAAAAUAUUCGAUGCAUACCCGGCCCGAAGAAGGUGCAUAAUUGGUUGGUAGUUAUCGUCACUUGCGACUUGCACAAACAGGCGCGUUUGUCCAAAUUUACUAAUCUCUUCAACGUGAUUCAUAAUUCUUUAGACAUUUUUAUUGUUUGAAAUUUCCAUGUGACCUUGACAGAUAUAUACUUUCAUAUAUUCUUUUCUGCUCAUUUUGUACAAGUACUACUUAAUCAAUUAUGUCUCGUUACCCAUAAUUGAAAUCAAUCACGUCUAGUUCUAUACGGUUAGGGAUAUUGUAUACAUGCCC
Molecule: long non-coding RNA, 586 nt
Filed under: Nicotiana benthamiana
Lineage: Eukaryota; Viridiplantae; Streptophyta; Magnoliopsida; Solanales; Solanaceae
Description: long non-coding RNA (NBEN_LNC008722)
Source: RNAcentral